This 328-nucleotide ribosomal RNA is filed under the name uncultured eukaryote. RNAcentral's name for it is "partial 18S ribosomal RNA". It matches the Rfam family "Eukaryotic small subunit ribosomal RNA", at positions 1470 to 1796 of the family's 1831-position model. The record is from RNAcentral.
CCCUUAGAUGUCCGGGGCUGCACGCGCGCUACACUGAAGGAAUCAGCGUGCUACAACCAUUGUCGAAAGGCAUUGGUAAACCCAUUAAAAUCCUACGUGAUUGGGAUCGGGAAUUGCAAUUAUUUCCCUUGAACGAGGAAUUCCCAGUAAGUGUGGGUCAUAAGCUCGCGUUGAUUACGUCCCUGCCCUUUGUACACACCGCCCGUCGCUGCCCGGGACUGAGCCGUUUCGAGAAAAGCGGGGACUGCUGCUGUCGGGGCUUUCGGGCCUUGGCUUCGGUGGAAACCGCUUUAAUCGCAGUGGCUUGAACCGGGCAAAAGUCGUAACA